CCUACGGGAGGCAGCAGUGAGGAAUAUUGGUCAAUGGGCGGGAGCCUGAACCAGCCAAGUCGCGUGAGGGAAGACGGUCCUAUGGAUUGUAAACCUCUUUAGGCGGGGAGCAAUGCCGGGCACGUGUGCCCGGAGGGAGAGUACCCGCAGAAUAAGCAUCGGCUAACUCCGUGCCAGCAGCCGCGGUAAUACGGAGGAUGCGAGCGUUAUCCGGAUUUAGUGGGGUUAAAGGGUGCGUAGGCGGAUUUUUAAGUCAGCGGUAAAAUGUCCGGGCUCAACCCGGGCCGGCCGUUGAAACUGGGGAUCUUGAGUGGGCGAGAAGUAUGCGGAAUGCGUGGUGUAGCGGUGAAAUGCAUAGAUAUCACGCAGAACUCCGAUUGCGAAGGCAGCAUACCGGCGCCCGACUGACGCUGAGGCACGAAAGCGUGGGGAUCGAACAGGAUUAGAUACCCUAGUAGUC
Molecule: ribosomal RNA, 460 nt
Filed under: uncultured bacterium
Lineage: Bacteria
Description: partial 16S ribosomal RNA
Rfam family: Bacterial small subunit ribosomal RNA
Source: RNAcentral